UACGUAGGGUGCGAGCGUUGUCCGGAAUUAUUGGGCGUAAAGAGCUUGUAGGCGGUUUGUCGCGUCUGCUGUGAAAAUCCGGGGCUCAACCCCGGACUUGCAGUGGGUACGGGCAGACUAGAGUGUGGUAGGGGAGACUGGAAUUCCUGGUGUAGCGGUGAAAUGCGCAGAUAUCAGGAGGAACACCGAUGGCGAAGGCGGGUCUCUGGGCCGAUACUGACGCUGAGGAGCGAAAGCAUGGGGAGCGAACAGG
RNAcentral lists this ribosomal RNA (253 nucleotides) under uncultured bacterium. Its description in RNAcentral is "partial 16S ribosomal RNA". It matches the Rfam family "Bacterial small subunit ribosomal RNA", at positions 524 to 776 of the family's 1533-position model. The record is from RNAcentral.